GACGAACCGUGCAAACGUUGUUCGGAAUCACUGGGCUUAAAGGGCGCGUAGGCGGUCGACCAAGUCCGGGGUGAAAUCUUUCGGCUUAACCGGAAAAGUGCCUUGGAUACUGGUCGGCUGGAGGGAGGUAGGGGCAGGUGGAACUUCCGGUGGAGCGGUGAAAUGCGUUGAUAUCGGAAGGAACGCCGGUGGCGAAAGCGACCUGCUGGACCUCUUCUGACGCUGAGGCGCGAAAGCUAGGGGAGCAAACGGG
Molecule: ribosomal RNA, 253 nt
Filed under: uncultured bacterium
Lineage: Bacteria
Description: partial 16S ribosomal RNA
Rfam family: Bacterial small subunit ribosomal RNA
Source: RNAcentral